This 253-nucleotide ribosomal RNA is filed under the name uncultured prokaryote. RNAcentral's name for it is "partial 16S ribosomal RNA". It matches the Rfam family "Bacterial small subunit ribosomal RNA", at positions 525 to 777 of the family's 1533-position model. The record is from RNAcentral.
ACGAAGGGUGCGAGCGUUAAUCGGAAUUACAGGGCGUAAAGAGCACGUAGGCGGUUUGAUAAGCGGAAUGUGAAAGCCCCGGGCUUAACCUGGGAACUGCAUUCCGAACUGUCAGGCUAGAGUAUGAUAGAGGUGAGCGGAAUUUCCUGUGUAGCGGUGAAAUGCGUAGAUAUAGGAAGGAACAUCAGUUGCGAAGGCGGCUCACUGGAUCAAUACUGACGCUGAGGUGCGAAAGCGUGGGUAGCGAACAGGA